Homo sapiens (human) is the source of this 749-nucleotide long non-coding RNA. NCBI's taxonomy places the organism in Eukaryota, Metazoa, Chordata, Mammalia, Primates, Hominidae. The record is from Ensembl.
GCAGAAAGUUAUUUUAUUUUCAGGGUGAGGUGACCACAAACAUAUUUGAUUUCUACCCCCCGAGAAGUUACAAAUCUGACUCUCUGGAUUCAACAAAAAGGAAGUACCAGCUUGACCUUGGAGACUACCAUUGCAUCAAGGCACACAUAUAAACAAGAGAAAAUUCUGAAAGAAGAAACAACAGAAUGCUGAAACAUACUUAUGGAGGAAUUGAUUUGACAAAGGCCUGCAAACCGAAGCUGGACAACUUGAUAUAAAUCUGGAAGGACUCACCAUCACUGCAGACCAUGCAUGAGAAGGAAUGAUGUUCCUUGUGCCCAGGAAGCUAGGGAGACGUAUGAGAAGAAAGGAUGGCCUGUUAUGUGUAGUGACCUGAUGGAGACAGCCAUUCCACUCAGCCUCAUCCAAGGACAUGGGGACACAACAAGGGACCUCACGAGAUCGCUUUACAGACCAGUUGGUCCGGAGGCACAUUUCUUCUGCAGGGAUUGGCAAGGAAGAUUUCAGUCUUCAAGGUCUGUUGCUGGGCCUGGGCAAUGGAUGCGUUUUUCAGUAAUAAAGAGAAGAAUUUGAAGUUCCAACAGAUGAUUCAGGAAAUGAGGAAAGAUGACUAGGGGGUGGGUGCUACAUAAAGAAGGAAUUUGAAGACAGCAGGAAUAUCUCAAAAUGGACUUUGGCAUGACUGUUAUAAAUUCUUCCUCUAACUCCUCUACAGAAUCUUUAAUAAAGUCUACAAUGCUCUUUUGUAC